GUUACUCCUACGACUCCUCUACGCUCCUACACAUUCGCUCCGCGCCUACCAUAGAAACUCAUAGAAACUAACGACGGCAAUGACGGCAAUUCACGCGUUCGCAUGUGGCUCCUCUCUUUCAUGCCGCCAGUUCGCUCCGUAAGCGUGCGCUUCAUUCGCAAUUCAAACGUCGCCCACUCCGGUUUGAGUACUCCAAAACAUUCACAUAAAUCCACUAUUCUGCAUCAUUUUAUAAAACUCACAUAUUGCCACACAUUUCACAGUGGCAACAAUUUUAAUCUGAAACAGGCAAUUUUCAUCUGCGAUUGAAACACUAACGCUACCUGCGCACAACCCAAGUUAAGUUACAUUGAAUUAAAUUCUACUACUAAACUCGAAACCAAGCCAUGGGAUUAUAAACUAUCUAAAAGUACUAGUGAACUAUGUUUAAACUUUUGUGCUUUUCUGAGUCUGCAAAUAGAAACGGUAACAGCGAUUUCCUUCCGUUAAAAUAAUCGUACAUAACAUUAAUUUCGUGUAACUACCAAUGUACCUAUAUAUCAUUUGGCCCCCGUUGACGUGAUUCACGCGAAUUGUGGAUAUCCACGGAAAUACUUGCGCCGAGUUAAGCCAACGCAAUAAAAUGUAUUUUUGGUUUAUGUGCAAAUGCAAUACGAAUGAACGGCAUGGUAUAUA
Molecule: long non-coding RNA, 675 nt
Organism: Dalotia coriaria
Lineage: Eukaryota; Metazoa; Arthropoda; Insecta; Coleoptera; Staphylinidae
Exons: 2
Source: RefSeq, a predicted model, not a curated record